GUUUCUGUAGCCUAGAUGGUUAAAGGCAGCACUGUAGCGUGUGUGUCAGUUAUAAUGAGGUCAUGGGUUUGAAUCUCACCAGACACA
Non-coding RNA from Puccinia sorghi, 87 nucleotides. NCBI's taxonomy places the organism in Eukaryota, Fungi, Basidiomycota, Pucciniomycetes, Pucciniales, Pucciniaceae. The record is from the annotation of a GenBank genome assembly.